RNAcentral lists this ribosomal RNA (615 nucleotides) under Micromonospora sp. Ri3Ps_5467. RNAcentral describes it as "bacterial SSU rRNA". It matches the Rfam family "Bacterial small subunit ribosomal RNA", at positions 397 to 1021 of the family's 1533-position model. Lineage: Bacteria; Bacillati; Actinomycetota; Actinomycetes; Micromonosporales; Micromonosporaceae. The record is from RNAcentral.
CCGCGUGAGGGAUGACGGCCUUCGGGUUGUAAACCUCUUUCAGCAGGGACGAAGCGUAAGUGACGGUACCUGCAGAAUAAGCACCGGCCAACUACGUGCCAGCAGCCGCGGUAAGACGUAGGGUGCGAGCGUUGUCCGGAUUUAUUGGGCGUAAAGAGCUCGUAGGCGGCUUGUCGCGUCGACCGUGAAAACUUGGGGCUCAACCCCAAGCCUGCGGUCGAUACGGGCAGGCUAGAGUUCGGUAGGGGAGACUGGAAUUCCUGGUGUAGCGGUGAAAUGCGCAGAUAUCAAGAGGAACACCGGUGGCGAAGGCGGGUCUCUGGGCCGAUACUGACGCUGAGGAGCGAAAGCGUGGGGAGCGAACAGGAUUAGAUACCCUGGUAGUCCACGCUGUAAACGUUGGGCGCUAGGUGUGGGGGGCCUCUCCGGUUCUCUGUGCCGCAGCUAACGCAUUAAGCGCCCCGCCUGGGGAGUACGGCCGCAAGGCUAAAACUCAAAGGAAUUGACGGGGGCCCGCACAAGCGGCGGAGCAUGCGGAUUAAUUCGAUGCAACGCGAAGAACCUUACCUGGGUUUGACAUGGCCGCAAAACUUGCAGAGAUGUAAGGUCCUUCGG